GCAGGUAUAGCUCAGUGGUAGAGCUCAUGCUUGGUGUGCACAAAGUUCUCGGUUCAACCCCCAGUACCUCCA
This 72-nucleotide transfer RNA is filed under the name Camelus bactrianus (Bactrian camel). It matches the Rfam family "tRNA". Rfam says of the family: Transfer RNA (tRNA) molecules are approximately 80 nucleotides in length. Their secondary structure includes four short double-helical elements and three loops (D, anti-codon, and T loops). RNAcentral also lists the same sequence under 2 other names. The record is from Rfam by way of RNAcentral. Lineage: Eukaryota; Metazoa; Chordata; Mammalia; Artiodactyla; Camelidae.